AUUGAACGCUGGCGGCAUGCCUUACACAUGCAAAUCGAACGGUAACGGGCCUUCGGGUGCCGACGAGUGGCGCACGGGUGAGUAAUACAUCGGAACGUGCCCGAUCGUGGGGAUAACGAGGCGAAAGCUUUGCUAAUACCGCAUACGAUCUACGGAUGAAAGCAGGGGACCGCAAGGCCUUGCGCGGACGGAGCGGCCGAUGGCAGAUUAGGUAGUUGGUGGGAUAAAAGCUUACCAAGCCGACGAUCUGUAGCUGGUCUGAGAGGAUGAUCAGCCACACUGGGACUGAGACACGGCCCAGACUCCUACGGGAGGCAGCAGUGGGGAAUUUUGGACAAUGGGCGCAAGCCUGAUCCAGCCAUGCCGCGUGCAGGAUGAAGGCCUUCGGGUUGUAAACUGAUUUUGUACGGAACGAAAAGCCUUCUUUUAAUACAGGAGGGUCAUGACGGUACCGUAAGAAUAAGCACCGGCUAACUACGUG
RNAcentral lists this ribosomal RNA (481 nucleotides) under uncultured bacterium. RNAcentral's name for it is "partial 16S ribosomal RNA". It matches the Rfam family "Bacterial small subunit ribosomal RNA", at positions 30 to 507 of the family's 1533-position model. The record is from RNAcentral.